This 398-nucleotide ribosomal RNA is filed under the name uncultured bacterium. Its description in RNAcentral is "bacterial SSU rRNA". It matches the Rfam family "Bacterial small subunit ribosomal RNA", at positions 29 to 414 of the family's 1533-position model. The record is from RNAcentral.
AACGAACGCUGGCGGCGUGGCUAAGGCAUGCAAGUCGAACGGACCUAUUCAACGGGUAACUGAAGAGUAGGUCAGUGGCGAACGGGUGAGGAAUUCAUGGAUAACGUGCCCCGGACUCAGGGAUAGCGUUGUGAAAACGACGGUAAUACCUGAUGACCCCGUACGGACCGCCAUGGUCCCGCCGGGCGAAAGACUCCGACGGUCCGGGAGCGAUUCAUGCCCUACUCAGCUAGUUGGUGAGGAACGGCUCACCAAGGCGGCGACGGGUAUCGGGCGUGAGAGCGUGACCCGACACAUCGGAACUGAGAUACGGUCCGGACACCUACGGGUGGCUGCAGCAACGAAUAUUCCGCAAUGGACGAAAGUCUGACGGAGCGACGCCGCGUGCAGGAAGAAGU